UAUUAAAAAAAAAUAAACGUCAAAAAUUUUUCAUCGAAAAAACGUGUUUUUCUACGAUUUUUAAUUGUUUCUAAUUGAAAUCAAUAAUUUCUCAGUCAUUAUUAAUAAGAACUACAUGUGCAUGGAUUGCCUGUUGGAUUGAUGUUUGUUUACGAAAAAAAUUCUCUCAAGUAAGUUAAUAAGUUAAUAUCGAACUUCGAACUUAUAAAGUGUUAAGCAGCAAUUACAAUAAAAGUGCUUGCUGUGGAAUCACUGGUGCUGCUCAUUAUUGUCAACUGUUACUUAAAAAGGUUAUGCCAUGCAUUAAAUUAGGAAGAUUUGUGUUGGAUGAAUUACCCAGAUAACAAUUAAAACAACUUCUAUUUAUAAGAACAUUCGAUUGGUGGAAUCCAGAUUCUGUGAAUAUAAUUAUAUUAAGUAAUUGAUUGACAAGUACACAUUUGACAAGGUGGUGAGAAACAUGUAGAUCUGGCCUGCUUACAGUGGAGUGGACAGAACCAACGUGAGAGUGAACGUGUGAAUUUAUGGAGAACAUUAAACUAUUUUACUAUAACAUAUUUUAUAUGAGUUACAUACAAAUGUCAAUCCGUGAGUACAUAAUGUAAAAACUAAAACAAUG
Ostrinia furnacalis (Asian corn borer) is the source of this 619-nucleotide long non-coding RNA. RefSeq lists it as uncharacterized. NCBI's taxonomy places the organism in Eukaryota, Metazoa, Arthropoda, Insecta, Lepidoptera, Crambidae. The transcript is spliced from 5 exons. The record is from RefSeq and is a predicted model, not a curated record.